GUCGAACGGCAGCACAGAAGAGCUUGCUCUUUGGGUGGCGAGUGGCGGACGGGUGAGUAAUGUCUGGGAAACUGCCCGAUGGAGGGGGAUAACUACUGGAAACGGUAGCUAAUACCGCAUAACGUCGCGAGACCAAAGUGGGGGACCUUCGGGCCUCACACCAUCGGAUGUGCCCAGAUGGGAUUAGCUAGUAGGUGGGGUAAUGGCUCACCUAGGCGACGAUCCCUAGCUGGUCUGAGAGGAUGACCAGCCACACUGGAACUGAGACACGGUCCAGACUCCUACGGGAGGCAGCAGUGGGGAAUAUUGCACAAUGGGCGCAAGCCUGAUGCAGCCAUGCCGCGUGUAUGAAGAAGGCCUUCGGGUUGUAAAGUACUUUCAGCGGGGAGGAAGGCGGUGAGGUUAAUAACCUCGCCGAUUGACGUUACCCGCAGAAGAAGCACCGGCUAACUCCGUGCCAGCAGCCGCGGUAAUACGGAGGGUGCAAGCGUUAAUCGGAAUUACUGGGCGUAAAGCGCACGCAGGCGGUCUGUUAAGUCAGAUGUGAAAUCCCCGGGCUUAACCUGGGAACUGCAUUUGAAACUGGCAGGCUUGAGUCUCGUAGAGGGGGGUAGAAUUUCC
This 621-nucleotide ribosomal RNA is filed under the name Pantoea dispersa. RNAcentral's name for it is "bacterial SSU rRNA". It matches the Rfam family "Bacterial small subunit ribosomal RNA", at positions 61 to 671 of the family's 1533-position model. The record is from RNAcentral. Lineage: Bacteria; Pseudomonadati; Pseudomonadota; Gammaproteobacteria; Enterobacterales; Erwiniaceae.